This 214-nucleotide long non-coding RNA is filed under the name Elaeis guineensis (African oil palm). Its description in RNAcentral is "long non-coding RNA (EGUI_LNC021012)". Lineage: Eukaryota; Viridiplantae; Streptophyta; Magnoliopsida; Arecales; Arecaceae. The record is from RNAcentral.
GCAAAGCUUUUUCUUCCCUUUCCAUCAAAAAAAAAAAAGAAAAGAAAAGAAAUACCUAGUGAGUUAAUAUAUUGUACCUAAAAUAGUUUGAAUCCUAUGGUCCCAACCUGUUAGAAAAAAAAGCAAUAUGUAUAUUCUAAGUUUUAUGUUGCAAAUUUUUUAUAUGAAAUGAUCCUCUUAAAUCCUCUAAGAAUAAUGUGUUUAUUGCCAAACC